GUGAGGAAUAUUGGUCAAUGGGCGAGAGCCUGAACCAGCCAAGUCGCGUGAAGGAAGAAGGAUCUAUGGUUCGUAAACUUCUUUUGCAGGGGAAUAAAGUGCAGGACGUGUCCUGUUUUGUAUGUACCCUGAGAAUAAGGAUCGGCUAACUCCGUGCCAGCAGCCGCGGUAAUACGGAGGAUCCGAGCGUUAUCCGGAUUUAUUGGGUUUAAAGGGUGCGUAGGUGGUUUGAUAAGUCAGCGGUGAAAGUUUGCAGCUUAACUGUAAACAUGCCGAUGAAACUGUCGGACUUGAGUGUAAAUGAGGUAGGCGGAAUGCGUGGUGUAGCGGUGAAAUGCAUAGAUAUCACGCAGAACUCCGAUUGCGAAGGCAGCUUACUAAGCUACAACUGACACUGAAGCACGAAAGCGUGGGGAUCAAACAGGAUUAGAAACCCUAGUAGUCC
Molecule: ribosomal RNA, 445 nt
Filed under: uncultured bacterium
Lineage: Bacteria
Description: partial 16S ribosomal RNA
Rfam family: Bacterial small subunit ribosomal RNA
Source: RNAcentral